GGAGGACAUAGCUCAGUGGUAGAACAUCUUCUUCACAUGCAGAAGUCCCCAGGCUCAAUCUCUCAUGUCUCCA
Podarcis lilfordi (Lilford's wall lizard) is the source of this 73-nucleotide non-coding RNA. The record is from the annotation of a GenBank genome assembly. Lineage: Eukaryota; Metazoa; Chordata; Lepidosauria; Squamata; Lacertidae.